CGACCUGGCGGGUGCUAUAAUGCAGUCGAGCGAACAGAUAAGGAGCUUGCUCCUUUGACGUUAGCGGCGGACGGGUGAGUAACACGUGGAUAACCUACCUAUAAGACUGGGAUAACUUCGGGAAACCGGAGCUAAUACCGGAUAACAUAUUGAACCGCAUGGUUCAAUAGUGAAAGGCGGCUUUGCUGUCACUUAUAGAUGGAUCCGCGCCGUAUUAGCUAGUUGGUAAGGUAACGGCUUACCAAGGCAACGAUACGUAGCCGACCUGAGAGGGUGAUCGGCCACACUGGAACUGAGACACGGUCCAGACUCCUACGGGAGGCAGCAGUAGGGAAUCUUCCGCAAUGGGCGAAAGCCUGACGGAGCAACGCCGCGUGAGUGAUGAAGGUCUUCGGAUCGUAAAACUCUGUUAUCAGGGAAGAACAAAUGUGUAAGUAACUGUGCACAUCUUGACGGUACCUGAUCAGAAAGCCACGGCUAACUACGUGCCAGCAGCCGCGGUAAUACGUAGGUGGCAAGCGUUAUCCGGAAUUAUUGGGCGUAAAGCGCGCGUAGGCGGUUUUUUAAGUCUGAUGUGAAAGCCCACGGCUCAACCGUGGAGGGUCAUUGGAAACUGGAAAACUUGAGUGCAGAAGAGGAAAGUGGAAUUCCAUGUGUAGCGGUGAAAUGCGCAGAGAUAUGGAGGAACACCAGUGGCGAAGGCGACUUUCUGGUCUGUAACUGACGCUGAUGUGCGAAAGCGUGGGGAUCAAACAGGAUUAGAUACCCUGGUAGUCCACGCCGUAAACGAUGAGUGCUAAGUGUUAAGGGGGUUUCCGCCCCUUAGUGCUGCAGCUAACGCAUUAAGCACUCCGCCUGGGGAGUACGACCGCAAGGUUGAAACUCAAAGGAAUUGACGGGGACCCGCACAAGCGGUGGAGCAUGUGGUUAAUUCGAAGCAACGCGAAGA
This 949-nucleotide ribosomal RNA is filed under the name Staphylococcus warneri. RNAcentral describes it as "bacterial SSU rRNA". It matches the Rfam family "Bacterial small subunit ribosomal RNA", at positions 34 to 967 of the family's 1533-position model. The record is from RNAcentral. Lineage: Bacteria; Bacillati; Bacillota; Bacilli; Caryophanales; Staphylococcaceae.